UAUUAAAAACUGUAUUGUUAAAAACUGUCGUGGCUGACGGAAUAAUCAGAUAAUGACACAUGAUGUGUCACGUAUACCUCAUAUUGAUGUACAUGGACCAAUUUUUAAUAGACAAAAUGGAUAGAAUUUUUAACA
Molecule: non-coding RNA, 135 nt
Organism: Gossypium hirsutum (cotton)
Lineage: Eukaryota; Viridiplantae; Streptophyta; Magnoliopsida; Malvales; Malvaceae
Source: Rfam